Long non-coding RNA from Gorilla gorilla gorilla (western lowland gorilla), 1280 nucleotides. RefSeq lists it as uncharacterized. The record is from RefSeq and is a predicted model, not a curated record. The transcript has 5 exons. NCBI's taxonomy places the organism in Eukaryota, Metazoa, Chordata, Mammalia, Primates, Hominidae.
UGGAGCAGUCCUUUUGAUGGAGUCUUUAAUUUUGGGCGAAGUUUCUGGAAACCCAUCCUUUCACCAUCCCAAUUACUCUAAAGCUCGAGUCUCUGAAGCAUUUGAGAAAAAGCACAAAUUCAACAGGUUCCUGAAGGAGAGUCCUGAGUCCAGUAGGGGGAAAAAUGCUGUGAUUGAUUAGUGAUGUCUACCACGAGUAUGCGAAAGGGAAGUGUUAAAUACCUAGAAGUGGAAAUAUUGGGUUGAAUGAUUUAUGAGGCACUGUGAGCUUAAACCUCUUUGGGAUUGAGGCUAAUACUCCAAACCACAUUGGAUUUAUAUAAACACCAGCCACUCUGAUAAAAGCAUUCUACUUGACUGACUCCAUCAACUCACUGGCAUUUUCUAUGGUCAACUUCAGUAAAAAUAAGAUAUUUAUCAAGUGUCUUCUCUGUGAUGUGGCUGAAGAUAGGAAUUUACAGCAUGGCAACAAAGAAUGAUACAACAUCUAACUGUACUAUGUGUGAAGUGCUACAAAAACAUAUGGCAAGCUCUGGAAUCAAAAAGUGAGGAGGCCAGGUGUGGUGGCUCAUGCUUGUAAUCCCACGACUUUGGGAGCCCAAGGUGGGAGGAUUGCUUGAGCUCAGGAGUUCGAGUCCAGCCUAGGCAACAUAGUGAGACCUCAUCUCAACGAAAAAUAAAAAAAUUAUCUGGGUGUGGUGGUGCACACUUGUGGUCCCAGCUACUAGGGAGGUUGAGCCAGGGAGGUCGGGGCCUCAGUGAGUCAUGAACGUGCCACUGCACUCCAGCCUGGGUGACGGAGCGAGACUAUUUCAGGCAAAAGGAACAGCAUAAGCAAAGGCACCAAAGUUUGUAACUGCAAGAUUUGUUGGCCUGUGUGUGACCAAAUAUAGGUAAAGAUCGUGGGGUGGGUGAGUGGGAGAGGGGAUAAGAUGCUUUUCCUACUUCAGCUAAGUUGCAAAGAUUCAGGAACUGUGGCCACAGCAAGUGGCCCGUGGGGUUGUGCCAUUGGUGACACACUGUGCUGUGGUCUUGUCUGAUAUUUGCCGCCAGUCCUCCAUGGAUCCCGACCCUUUUCUUAACCUGAUUCUCCAUCUUUGGGUUGAGGCAGUGAGCUGCCUGACAACUCUCCCAGAAAUUAUUUUUUCUGGAUAAGUUAACCAGAAUGAGUUCCUUUUGCUUGUAACCAAGAGAUGUCUCAAACAAUAAAGAAUGUAAUCUCUUUGGCAUGUCAUCUGAAUUUCCUAAAUUUUAAUCAAUAAAUAAUGAAGUACUUCUGU